CCCGCUGAGUUUAAGCAUAUCAAUAAGCGGAGGAAAAGAAACUAACUAGGAUUCCCUUAGUAAUGGCGAGCGAACCGGGAAGAGCCCAGCUUGAAAAUCGGACGUCUUCGGCGUUCGAAUUAUACUCUGGAGAAGCGUCCUCAGCGAUGGACCGGGGCCAAUUCCCUGGAAAGGGGCGCCAGAGAGGGUGAGAGCCCCGUCGUGCCCGGACCCUGUCGCACAACGAGGUGCUGUCUACGAGUUGGGUUGUUUGGGAAUGCAGCCGCAAUCGGGCGGUAAAUUCCGUCCAAGGCUAAAUAUGGGCGAGAGACCGAUAGCGAACAAGUACCACGAGGUAAAGAUGAAAAGAACUUUGAAAAGAGAGUCACAGAGUGCUUGAAAUUGUCAGGGAGGAAGCGGAUGGGAGCCGGCGAUUCAUCCCAGUCGGAUGCGGGACGGAGCAAUCCGGUCUGCCGAUCGAUUCGGGGCAUGGACCUACGUGGAUUAAGGUGGUGACAUAAGCCUAGGCUUUUGUUACGCACGCGGACACGUCGCUGCCUUGAUCGUGGUCUGCAGCUCGCGCCUCACGGCGUGCCUCGACAUCUGCGUGCUCAGGGCGUGGGCCUGUGGGCUCCCCAUUCGACCCGUCUUGAAACACGG
This 639-nucleotide non-coding RNA is filed under the name Brassica napus (rape). RNAcentral describes it as "Eukaryotic large subunit ribosomal RNA". It matches the Rfam family "Eukaryotic large subunit ribosomal RNA", at positions 24 to 664 of the family's 3401-position model. The record is from Rfam by way of RNAcentral. Lineage: Eukaryota; Viridiplantae; Streptophyta; Magnoliopsida; Brassicales; Brassicaceae. RNAcentral also lists the same sequence under 1 other name.